CACCGCGUGCACUGGUCCGGCCGGGCCUUUCCCUCUGUGGAACCCCAUGCCCUUCACUGGGCGUGGCGGGGAAACAGGACUUUUACUUUGAAAAAAUUAGAGUGCUCCAGGCAGGCCUAUGCUCGAAUACAUUAGCAUGGAAUAAUAAAAUAGGACGUGCGGUUCUAUUUUGUUGGUUUCUAGGACCGCCGUAAUGAUUAAUAGGGACAGUCGGGGGCAUCAGUAUUCAAUUGUCAGAGGUGAAAUUCUUGGAUUUAUUGAAGACUAACUACUGCGAAAGCAUUUGCCAAGGAUGUUUUCAUUAAUCAGGAACGAAAGUUAGGGGAUCGAAGACGAUCAGAUACCGUCGUAGUCUUAACCGUAAACGAUGCCGACUAGGGAUCGGACGGUGUUAUUACUUGACCCGUUCGGCACCUUACGAGAAAUCAAAGUGCUUGGGCUCCAGGGGGAGUAUGGUCGCAAGGCUGAAACUUAAAGAAAUUGACG
This 486-nucleotide ribosomal RNA is filed under the name Hypocreaceae sp. Its description in RNAcentral is "SSU rRNA". It matches the Rfam family "Eukaryotic small subunit ribosomal RNA", at positions 667 to 1158 of the family's 1831-position model. Lineage: Eukaryota; Fungi; Ascomycota; Sordariomycetes; Hypocreales; Hypocreaceae. The record is from RNAcentral.